Molecule: ribosomal RNA, 443 nt
Filed under: uncultured Glomus
Lineage: Eukaryota; Fungi; Glomeromycota; Glomeromycetes; Glomerales; Glomeraceae
Description: SSU rRNA
Rfam family: Eukaryotic small subunit ribosomal RNA
Source: RNAcentral
GGGUUAGUAGGUUGGUCAUGCCUCUGGUAUGUACUGGUCUCACUGAUUCCUCCUUCCUGAUGAACCUUAAUGCCAUUAAUUUGGUGUUUUGGGGAAUUUGGACUGUUACUUUGAAAAAAUUAGAGUGUUUAAAGCAAGCUAACGCUUGAAUACAUUAGCAUGGAAUAAUGAAAUAGGACGUUCGAUCCUAUUUUGUUGGUUUCUAGGAUUGACGUAAUGAUUAAUAGGGAUAGUUGGGGGCAUUAGUAUUCAAUUGUCAGAGGUGAAAUUCUUGGAUUUAUUGAAGACUAACUACUGCGAAAGCAUUUGCCAAGGAUGUUUUCAUUAAUCAAGAACGAAAGUUAGGGGAUCGAAGACGAUCAGAUACCGUCGUAGUCUUAACCAUAAACUAUGCCGACUAGGGAUCGGAUGAUGUUAAUUUUUUAAUGACUCAUUCGGCACCU